RNAcentral lists this transfer RNA (85 nucleotides) under Rothia nasimurium. RNAcentral describes it as "tRNA-Leu". It matches the Rfam family "tRNA". From Rfam's summary of the family: Transfer RNA (tRNA) molecules are approximately 80 nucleotides in length. RNAcentral also lists the same sequence under 3 other names. The record is from RNAcentral. Lineage: Bacteria; Bacillati; Actinomycetota; Actinomycetes; Micrococcales; Micrococcaceae.
GCGAGAGUGGCGGAAUUGGUAGACGCACCAGAUUUAGGUUCUGGCGGAGAAAUCCGUGAGGGUUCGAGUCCCUCCUUUCGCACCA